This 482-nucleotide ribosomal RNA is filed under the name uncultured bacterium. RNAcentral describes it as "partial 16S ribosomal RNA". It matches the Rfam family "Bacterial small subunit ribosomal RNA", at positions 30 to 507 of the family's 1533-position model. The record is from RNAcentral.
AUUGAACGCUGGCGGCAUGCUUUACACAUGCAAGUCGAACGGUAACAGCACUUCGGUGGCUGACGAGUGGCGAACGGGUGAGUAGUACAUCGGAACGUGCCUAGUAGUGGGGGAUAACUACUCGAAAGAGUAGCUAAUACCGCAUGAGAUCUAAGGAUGAAAGCAGGGGACCUUCGGGCCUUGCGCUACUAGAGCGGCUGAUGGCAGAUUAGGUAGUUGGUGGGAUAAAAGCUUACCAAGCCGACGAUCUGUAGCUGGUCUGAGAGGACGACCAGCCACACUGGGACUGAGACACGGCCCAGACUCCUACGGGAGGCAGCAGUGGGGAAUUUUGGACAAUGGGCGCAAGCCUGAUCCAGCAAUGCCGCGUGCAGGAUGAAGGCCUUCGGGUUGUAAACUGCUUUUGUACGGAACGAAAAGCCCUCUUCUAAUACAGGAGGGUCAUGACGGUACCGUAAGAAUAAGCACCGGCUAACUACGUG